UACGUAGGGGGCAAGCGUUGUCCGGAAUUAUUGGGCGUAAAGCGCACGCAGGCGGUUCGCUAAGUUCGAAGUGACAAUCAACGGCUUAACCGGUGAACGAUUUCGAAAACUGGCGGGCUUGAGAGCGAGAGAGGGACCUGGAACUCCGGGAGGAGCGGUGAAAUGCGUAGAGAUCCGGAAGAACACCACUGGCGAAGGCAGUGUCCUGGCUCGUAUCUGACGCUGAGGUGCGAAAGCUAGGGGAGCGAACGGG
This 253-nucleotide ribosomal RNA is filed under the name uncultured bacterium. RNAcentral describes it as "partial 16S ribosomal RNA". It matches the Rfam family "Bacterial small subunit ribosomal RNA", at positions 524 to 776 of the family's 1533-position model. The record is from RNAcentral.